GCCAUCCCAGUGCUCAGACUACCUGCUCAGGAGACUGGGACAUGUACAGUAGUCUGCAUAUUGGUUAGGC
This 70-nucleotide microRNA precursor is filed under the name Mus pahari (shrew mouse). RNAcentral describes it as "microRNA 199a-1 (MGP_PahariEiJ_G0006655.1)". The record is from RNAcentral. Lineage: Eukaryota; Metazoa; Chordata; Mammalia; Rodentia; Muridae.